Molecule: long non-coding RNA, 225 nt
Organism: Physella acuta
Lineage: Eukaryota; Metazoa; Mollusca; Gastropoda; Physidae
Source: RefSeq, a predicted model, not a curated record
AGGGAUAUGACCAGGCCACAACCACGUCGUCCAUAGCCUAGGAUAGAGGUCUCAGUUACCUGGCUAGCCUUAGGCAGAGUGCCUAUGAGUAAAGAAAACAACAUUUAAUGGCAGCGACGUCUAGCGGAGGUGUGAAAAGGCACAACUUUUCAAAUUCGUGGAUUAUUUUAUUGCUGUAUGGUGCGUUGAUUCUUAAAGAAGGUUCAGCUCAAUGUGACGAUGACA